GGUGAACGCUGGCGGCGUGCCUAACACAUGCAAGUCGAGCGGUGCAGUUUGAAGCUUCGGUGGAAAGCUGCAUAGCGGCGGACGGGUGAGGAAAACGUAGGAACGUGCCCCUUGGAGUUGGAUAGCCACGGGAAACUGUGGGUAAACCGACAUAGACUCGAGAGAGUAAAGGCCGAAAGGCGCCAAGGGAGCGGCCUGCGGCCCAUCAGGUAGUUGGUAGUGUAAAGGACUACCAAGCCGACGACGGGUAGCCGGUCUGAGAGGAUGGCCGGCCACACUGGAACUGAGACACGGUCCAUACACCUACGGGUGGCAGCAGUAGGGAAUAUUAGAAAUGGGCGGAAGCCUGAUCUAGCAACACCGCGUGUGCGAUGAAAGGCCUUCGGGUCGUAAAGCACUUUUUGGAGGGAAUAGGAAGGAAGGUACCUCCAGAAUAAGUCUCGGCUAAACUACGUGCCAGCAGCCGCGGUAAGCUCGUCUCUA
This 483-nucleotide ribosomal RNA is filed under the name uncultured bacterium. RNAcentral describes it as "bacterial SSU rRNA". It matches the Rfam family "Bacterial small subunit ribosomal RNA", at positions 28 to 533 of the family's 1533-position model. The record is from RNAcentral.